This 314-nucleotide long non-coding RNA is filed under the name Panax ginseng (ginseng). RNAcentral's name for it is "long non-coding RNA (PGIN_LNC003048)". The record is from RNAcentral. Lineage: Eukaryota; Viridiplantae; Streptophyta; Magnoliopsida; Apiales; Araliaceae.
AUACUCAUAAUUUCUCUGACUUAAAACUCUAAACUUGGCUCAGCUACUAUAUCGGAUAAAUUGCCUGGUAUAAAUGUAGUCACUUUCGUAUAUCAGACUGAGAUUUUGAAAUCAUUGGUGUGAGAAAAAAAAAUUACACAUUGAACUAAUGUAUUGAGCUUAUUGAGUUUUCGUCUAAAAAUAGUAAAGAUCUAAAUGCCUGAACUCUAUAUAUAGAAAUUUGUUGACAGUUGUGAAUUCUACUGAUCAGUCCUUUAAUUUGCACUAUUCACAAUUUAUCUAUCUAUGUGGUAAAUUCAAAUCAUGAUAUCUGG